RNAcentral lists this ribosomal RNA (253 nucleotides) under uncultured bacterium. RNAcentral's name for it is "partial 16S ribosomal RNA". It matches the Rfam family "Bacterial small subunit ribosomal RNA", at positions 524 to 776 of the family's 1533-position model. The record is from RNAcentral.
UACGAAGGGGGCUAGCGUUGUUCGGAUUUACUGGGCGUAAAGCGCUCGUAGGCGGCUCGUUAAGUCGGGGGUGAAAUCCUGGAGCUCAACUCCAGAACUGCCUUCGAUACUGGCGAGCUUGAGUCCGGAAGAGGUGAGUGGAACUCCUAGUGUAGAGGUGGAAUUCGUAGAUAUUAGGAAGAACACCAGUGGCGAAGGCGGCUCACUGGGCCGGUACUGACGCUGAGGUGCGAAAGCGUGGGGAGCAAACAGG